This 467-nucleotide ribosomal RNA is filed under the name uncultured bacterium. Its description in RNAcentral is "partial 16S ribosomal RNA". It matches the Rfam family "Bacterial small subunit ribosomal RNA", at positions 28 to 507 of the family's 1533-position model. The record is from RNAcentral.
GAUGAACGCUGGCGGCGUGCUUAACACAUGCAAGUCGAACGGACAGGCUCCUGCUUGCCGGGGUUCUCGAGUGGCGAACGGGUGAGUAACACGUGGGUGAUCUGCCCUGCACUUCGGGAUAAGCCUGGGAAACUGCGUCUAAUACCGGAUAGGACCUCUUUUUGGACGGUGUGGUGGAAAGUUAUUCGGUGUAGGAUGUGCUCGUGGCGUAUCAGCCUGUUGGUGGGGUAAUGGCGUACCCAAGCGUCGACGGGUAGCCGGCCUGAGAGAGUGUACGGCCACACUGGAACUGUGAGACGGGCCAGAGUAGGACAGGAGGCAGCAGUGGGGAAAAUCGGACAGAGGGCGCAAGCGUGAUGCAGCGAGGUCGCGUGGGGGAUGACGGCCUUCGGGUGGGAAGCACCUUUCGGUAGGGAAGAAGCGUUUUUGUGACGGUACCUGGAGAAGAAGCACCGGCUAACUACGUG